CCUACGGGCGGCUGCAGUGGGGAAUAUUGGACAAUGGGGGGAACCCUGAUCCAGCCAUGCCGCGUGUGUGAAGAAGGCCCUCGGGUUGUAAAGCACUUUCAGUGAGGAAGAAUGCCUGGUGGUUAAUACCCAUCAGGAAAGACAUCACUCACAGAAGAAGCACCGGCUAACUCCGUGCCAGCAGCCGCGGUAAUACGGAGGGUGCGAGCGUUAAUCGGAAUUACUGGGCGUAAAGCGCGCGUAGGUGGCUUGAUAAGCCGGUUGUGAAAGCCCCGGGCUCAACCUGGGAACGGCAUCCGGAACUGUCAAGCUAGAGUGCAGGAGAGGAAGGUAGAAUUCCCGGUGUAGCGGUGAAAUGCGUAGAGAUCGGGAGGAAUACCAGUGGCGAAGGCGGCCUUCUGGACUGACACUGACACUGAGGUGCGAAAGCGUGGGUAGCAAACAGGAUUAGAUACCCGUGUAGUC
RNAcentral lists this ribosomal RNA (465 nucleotides) under Vreelandella stevensii. RNAcentral's name for it is "partial 16S ribosomal RNA". It matches the Rfam family "Bacterial small subunit ribosomal RNA", at positions 338 to 795 of the family's 1533-position model. Lineage: Bacteria; Pseudomonadati; Pseudomonadota; Gammaproteobacteria; Oceanospirillales; Halomonadaceae. The record is from RNAcentral.